CGGUGUUCAACUGGCGUGUCCGCGGGACGUCCUGCCGGUGGGCUUAGCCCGCAAGGGCGGCCCCAACUUCAAAUCCCAUCGCGGUGCUCUUCACUGAGUGUCGAGGUGGGCCGGCACGUUUACUUUGAACAAAUUAGAGUGCUUAAAGCAGGCUAAAACUUCGCCUGAAUACUGUGUGCAUGGAAUAAUGGAAUAGGACCUCGGUUCUAUUUUGUUGGUUUUCGGAACCCCGAGGUAAUGAUUAAUAGGAACGGAUGGGGGCAUUCGUAUUGCGACGUUAGAGGUGAAAUUCUUGGAUCGUCGCAAGACGGACAGAAGCGAAAGCAUUUGCCAAAAACGCUUUCAUUGAUCAAGAACGAAAGUUAGAGGUUCGAAGGCGAUCAGAUACCGCCCUAGUUCUAACCAUAAACGAUGCCAGCUAGCGAUCCGUCGACGUUCCUCCGAUGACUCGACGGGCAGCUUCCGGGAAACCAAAGCUUUUGGGUUCCGGGGGAAGUAUGGUUGCAAAGCUGAAACUUAAAGGAAUUGACGGAAGGGCACCACCAGGAGUGGAGCCUGCGGCUUAAUUUGACUCAACACGGGAAACCUCACCAGGCCCGGACACCGGAAGGAUUGACAGAUUGAGAGCUCUUUCUUGAUUCGGUGGGUGGUGGUGCAUGGCCGUUCUUAGUUGGUGGAGCGAUUUGUCUGGUUAAUUCCGAUAACGAACGAGACUCUAGCCUGCUAACUAGGCGUAUUUUCGACAUCUCAAAGGUCCGUCGUCCCGGCCCUCGGGUCGUGGGCGUGCGCGAUUUUUACUGUCGGCGUACUAUCAAUUCUUCUUAGAGGGACAGGUGGCUUCUAGCCGCACGAGAUUGAGCAAUAACAGGUCUGUGAUG
RNAcentral lists this ribosomal RNA (878 nucleotides) under uncultured eukaryote. RNAcentral's name for it is "SSU rRNA". It matches the Rfam family "Eukaryotic small subunit ribosomal RNA", at positions 636 to 1469 of the family's 1831-position model. The record is from RNAcentral.